ACUCCUGACUGACCGAUAGUGAACCAGUACCGUGAGGGAAAGGCGAAAAGAACCCCGGCGAGGGGAGUGAAAAAGAACCUGAAACCGUGUACGUACAAGCAGUGGGAGCCCCACCACUAAGCCAGUGGUGAACUCCACAUACGCAUCCUUUGCUGAGGAUACGGUUAACGGAGCGAAAGCGACGUUCAACCGCAAAAAAAGAAGCAGAGGGGGCUUAGUGGUGGGGUGACUGCGUACCUUUUGUAUAAUGGGUCAGCGACUUAUAUUCUGUAGCAAGGUUAACCGAAUAGGGGAGCCGGAGGGAAACCGAGUCUUAAUUGGGCGUUAAGUUGCAGGGUAUAGACCCGAAACCCGGUGAUCUAGCCAUGGGCAGGUUGAAGGUUGGGUAACACUAACUGGAGGACCGAACCGACUAAUGUUGAAAAAUUAGCGGAUGACCUGUGGCUGGGGGUGAAAGGCCAAUCAAACCGGGAGAUAGCUGGUUCUCCCCGAAAGCUAUUUAGGUAGCGCCUCGUGAAUUCAUCUCCGGGGGUAGAGCACUGUUUCGGCUAGGGGGCCAUCCCGGCUUACCAACCCGAUGCAAACUGCGAAUACCGGAGAAUGUUAUCACGGGAGACACACGGCGGGUGCUAACGUCCGUCGUGAAGAGGGAAACAACCCAGACCGCCAGCUAAGGUCCCAAAGUCAUGGUUAAGUGGGAAACGAUGUGGGAAGGCCCAGACAGCCAGGAUGUUGGCUUAGAAGCAGCCAUCAUUUAAAGAAAGCGUAAUAGCUCACUGGUCGAGUCGGCCUGCGCGGAAGAUGUAACGGGGCUAAACCAUGCACCGAAGCUGCGGCAGCGACGCUGAUGCGUUGUUGGGUAGGGGAGCGUUCUGUAAGCCUGCGAAGGUGUGUCGUGAGGCAUGCUGGAGGUAUCAGAAGUGCGAAUGCUGACAUAAGUAACGAUAAAGCGGGUGAAAAGCCCGCUCGCCGGAAGACCAAGGGUUCCUGUCCAACGUUAAUCGGGGCAGGGUGAGUCGACCCCUAAGGCGAGGCCGAAAGGCGUAGUCGAUGGGAAACGGGUUAAUAUUCCCGUACUUGGUGUUACUGCGAAGGGGGGACGGAGAAGGCUAUGUUGGCCGGGCGACGGUUGUCCCGGUUUAAGCGUGUAGGUGUGUGUUCCAGGUAAAUCCGGUUCACUUUAACACUGAGGCGUGAUGACGAGGCACUACGGUGCUGAAGCAACAAAUGCCCUGCUUCCAGGAAAAGCCUCUAAGCAUCAGGUAACAUCAAAUCGUACCCCAAACCGACACAGGUGGUCAGGUAGAGAAUACCAAGGCGCUUGAGAGAACUCGGGUGAAGGAACUAGGCAAAAUGGUGCCGUAACUUCGGGAGAAGGCACGCUGACACGUAGGUGAAGUGAUUUACUCAUGGAGCUGAAGUCAGUCGAAGAUACCAGCUGGCUGCAACUGUUUAUUAAAAACACAGCACUGUGCAAACACGAAAGUGGACGUAUACGGUGUGACGCCUGCCCGGUGCCGGAAGGUUAAUUGAUGGGGUCAGCGCAAGCGAAGCUCCUGAUCGAAGCCCCGGUAAACGGCGGCCGUAACUAUAACGGUCCUAAGGUAGCGAAAUUCCUUGUCGGGUAAGUUCCGACCUGCACGAAUGGCGUAAUGAUGGCCAGGCUGUCUCCACCCGAGACUCAGUGAAAUUGAACUCGCUGUGAAGAUGCAGUGUACCCGCGGCAAGACGGAAAGACCCCGUGAACCUUUACUAUAGCUUGACACUGAACAUUGAGCCUUGAUGUGUAGGAUAGGUGGGAGGCUUUGAAGUGUGGACGCCAGUCUGCAUGGAGCCGGCCUUGAAAUACCACCCUUUAAUGUUUGAUGUUCUAACGUGGACCCGUGAUCCGGGUUGCGGACAGUGUCUGGUGGGUAGUUUGACUGGGGCGGUCUCCUCCUAAAGAGUAACGGAGGAGCACGAAGGUUGGCUAAUCCUGGUCGGACAUCAGGAGGUUAGUGCAAUGGCAUAAGCCAGCUUGACUGCGAGCGUGACGGCGCGAGCAGGUGCGAAAGCAGGUCAUAGUGAUCCGGUGGUUCUGAAUGGAAGGGCCAUCGCUCAACGGAUAAAAGGUACUCCGGGGAUAACAGGCUGAUACCGCCCAAGAGUUCAUAUCGACGGCGGUGUUUGGCACCUCGAUGUCGGCUCAUCACAUCCUGGGGCUGAAGUAGGUCCCAAGGGUAUGGCUGUUCGCCAUUUAAAGUGGUACGCGAGCUGGGUUUAGAACGUCGUGAGACAGUUCGGUCCCUAUCUGCCGUGGGCGCUGGAGAACUGAGGGGGGCUGCUCCUAGUACGAGAGGACCGGAGUGGACGCAUCACUGGUGUUCGGGUUGUCAUGCCAAUGGCACUGCCCGGUAGCUAAAUGCGGAAGAGAUAAGUGCUGAAAGCAUCUAAGCACGAAACUUGCCCCGAGAUGAGUUCUCCCUGAGACUUAGAGUCUCCUGAAGGAACGUUGAAGACGACGACGUUGAUAGGCCGGGUGUGUAAGCGCAGCGAUGCGUUGAGCUAACCGGUACUAAUGAACCGUGAGGCUUAACCUUACAACGCCGAAG
This 2591-nucleotide ribosomal RNA is filed under the name Salmonella enterica subsp. enterica serovar Johannesburg. RNAcentral's name for it is "partial 23S ribosomal RNA". It matches the Rfam family "Bacterial large subunit ribosomal RNA", at positions 472 to 2925 of the family's 2925-position model. Lineage: Bacteria; Pseudomonadati; Pseudomonadota; Gammaproteobacteria; Enterobacterales; Enterobacteriaceae. The record is from RNAcentral.